This 311-nucleotide small nuclear RNA is filed under the name Myotis brandtii (Brandt's bat). RNAcentral describes it as "7SK RNA". It matches the Rfam family "7SK RNA". From Rfam's summary of the family: 7SK was discovered as an abundant small nuclear RNA in the mid-70s but a possible function has only recently been suggested. Two independent studies have found that 7SK RNA binds the CDK9/cyclin T complex (known as elongation factor P-TEFb). Lineage: Eukaryota; Metazoa; Chordata; Mammalia; Chiroptera; Vespertilionidae. The record is from Rfam by way of RNAcentral.
GGAUGUGAGGGCGAUCUGGCUGCGACAUCUGUCACCCCAUUGAUCGCCAGGGUUGAUUCGGCUGAUCUGGCUGGCUAGGCGGGUGUCCCCCUCCUCCCUCACCGAUCCAUGUGCGUCCCUCCCGAAGCUGCGCGCUCGGUCGAAGAGGACGACCUUCCCCCCAGAGGAGAGGACCGGUCUUCGGUCAAGGGUAUACGAGUAGCUGCGCUCCCCUGCUAGAACAAUGGCUCAAGGAAAUAAGACUUGAAUUUUUCAUUAACCAGGCCCAGACUACCACACACACCUUGAUCAAGCAGAGCUCCUUGGGCUCA